GAGACUCUCCCCGAUCUGGUGGUGGCUGUCCUUUGUUGCCGGCCUCUCGAUCUGGCUGCCGCUGCCGUGCGUCGCUGGCCUCACGAUCUGGCCGUCGCCUUCCUGCUUCGCCAUCUUCCUGAUCUAUUAGGUGACCGGCCUUCCGAUCUUGGGGUCGACGCCAUGGAUUCACGUCCUUUGGCAUGGCAAGGAAUCUGGAUGCCCCUGAUCCAUGCACAUGCACGCGGGUGGCUGGCUGUGCGCAUAUGCAUGCGAACAUGAUUGUUGGCCGGCCGGCCGGCGUGGGCGUUGGGAUUCGCGAGCCUUUCUCCAGUGAUUUGGUGUCUCUGCCUCCCAAUUGAUCUGAAACAGGUCUUGGGUGAGGCACUGCCACCGACAUACACGGGACUCGGCGGCACGGAUCCUCAUGUUUCGUCAACACCAUCGGCACGUCGAUCACCUCGAUUACUUUGGUGCUGGCAGAUGCGAGGCAUGGUUCUUGGCCACGUGGUGAUGUCCAUGUCAAGAUCAUGCAGGCGAGCAACUGUCUUUGGGUGAAGCAAUGUAUGAGGAGAAGAUGAUACUUCACAGUGCGGCGUGCGAAUACGGUUUCAUUUGCGUGACAAAGUUCACGUCAAAAUCGUGCAUGUUGCGAUUGUGAGCCUGAUGACCAGCGCUUUGUAGUAGUGUUGUUUCAUACAUGCUACUCAAAGUGGCUGAUCGUUUUGGCAGGUGCUAUGUUUUCUUGUUUUUCUUUUUUU
This is a long non-coding RNA of Lolium perenne, 740 nucleotides long. RefSeq lists it as uncharacterized. Lineage: Eukaryota; Viridiplantae; Streptophyta; Magnoliopsida; Poales; Poaceae. The record is from RefSeq and is a predicted model, not a curated record.